This 145-nucleotide unclassified non-coding RNA is filed under the name soil metagenome. RNAcentral's name for it is "partial internal transcribed spacer 1". The record is from RNAcentral.
UAAUAAGUGUUUUAUGGCACUUUUUAAAUCCAUAUCCACCUUGUGUGCAAUGUCAGUCGAUCUUCUUCAUUGGAGAUCGACCAAACAUCAACCUUUAUUUUUAACUCUUUGUCUGAAAAAUAUUACGAAUAAACAAUUCAAAAUA